AGAGUUUGAUCCUGGCUCAGAUUGAACGCUGGCGGCAUGCUUUACACAUGCAAGUCGAACGGCAGCGGGGGCUUCGGCCUGCCGGCGAGUGGCGAACGGGUGAGUAAUGCAUCGGAACGUGCCCAGUCAUGGGGGAUAACUACGCGAAAGCGUAGCUAAUACCGCAUACGCCCUGAGGGGGAAAGCGGGGGAUCGCAAGACCUCACGUGAUUGGAGCGGCCGAUGUCGGAUUAGCUAGUUGGUGGGGUAAAGGCCUACCAAGGCGACGAUCCGUAGCGGGUCUGAGAGGAUGAUCCGCCACACUGGGACUGAGACACGGCCCAGACUCCUACGGGAGGCAGCAGUGGGGAAUUUUGGACAAUGGGGGCAACCCUGAUCCAGCCAUGCCGCGUGAGUGAAGAAGGCCUUCGGGUUGUAAAGCUCUUUCAGACGGAAAGAAAUCGGGCGGGUGAAU
This 454-nucleotide ribosomal RNA is filed under the name uncultured bacterium. RNAcentral describes it as "bacterial SSU rRNA". It matches the Rfam family "Bacterial small subunit ribosomal RNA", at positions 8 to 464 of the family's 1533-position model. The record is from RNAcentral.